AGCUUUGCGCAGUGGCAGUAUCGUAGCCAAUGAGGUUUAUCCGAGGCGCGAUUAUUGCUAAUUGAAAAAAUAUUCAAGGCACCUGGGUGGCUCAGUCAGUUAAGCUUCCAGCUUUGGCUCAGGUCAUGAUCU
This 132-nucleotide small nuclear RNA is filed under the name Suricata suricatta (meerkat). Its description in RNAcentral is "U4 spliceosomal RNA (ENSSSUG00005001296.1)". It matches the Rfam family "U4 spliceosomal RNA". Rfam says of the family: U4 small nuclear RNA (U4 snRNA) is a component of the major U2-dependent spliceosome. The structure of U4 snRNA from yeast and human has been reported. Lineage: Eukaryota; Metazoa; Chordata; Mammalia; Carnivora; Herpestidae. The record is from Rfam by way of RNAcentral.